UACGUAGGGUGCGAGCGUUGUCCGGAAUUAUUGGGCGUAAAGGGCUCGUAGGCGGUUCGUCACGUCGGGAGUGAAAACUCGGGGCUUAACCCCGAGCCUGCUUCCGAUACGGGCAGACUAGAGGUAGGCAGGGGAGAGCGGAAUUCCUGGUGUAGCGGUGAAAUGCGCAGAUAUCAGGAAGAACACCAAUGGCGAAGGCAGCUCUCUGGGACGGUACUGACACUGAGGAGCGAAAGCGUGGGGAGCGAACAGG
This 253-nucleotide ribosomal RNA is filed under the name uncultured bacterium. RNAcentral's name for it is "partial 16S ribosomal RNA". It matches the Rfam family "Bacterial small subunit ribosomal RNA", at positions 524 to 776 of the family's 1533-position model. The record is from RNAcentral.